UGCGAGUGAAGCGGCAAGAGCUCAAAUUUGAAAUCUGUGCCCUCAAGGGCACCGAGUUGUAACCUUGAGAUACGUUUUCGACCGACAGGCCUGCCUUAAGUUCCUUUGGAACAGGACGUCACAGAGGGUGAGAAUCCCGUGAACGGUAGGCCUCGAGGCGCAUGAUACGUAUUCGACGAGUCGAGUUGUUUGGGAAUGCAGCUCAAAGUGGGUGGUAAAUUUCAUCUAAAGCUAAAUAUUGGGGAGAGACCGAUAGCGCACAAGUAGAGUGAUCGAAAGAUGAAAAGCACUUUGAAAAGAGAGUUAAAAAGUACGUGAAAUUGUUGAAAGGGAAGCGCUUGAGACCAGACUCAAUCUCCGUUGAUCAACUUCAGUUCUCUGUUGUGCACUCGGCGGCUUUUGGGACAGCAUCGGUUCCCGCGGAGGGACAAAGCCUCAGGAAAUGUGGCACCCUUCGGGGUGUGUUAUAGUCCUCUGGGCAAUGCCUCCAGCGGGGACCGAGGACCGCGCUCCGGCUAGGAUGCUGUCAUAAUGGUCUCCAGCGACCCGUCUUGAAACACGGACCAAGGAGUCUAACAUCUAUGCGAGUGUUCGGGUGGAAAACCCUUGCGCGUAAUGAAAGUGAACGGAGGUGGGAAUCGCAAGACGCACCAUCGACCGAUCCUGAAGUCUUCCGAAGGAUUUGAGUAUGAGCAUAGCUGUUGGGACCCGAAAGAUGGUGAACUAUGCCUGAAUAGGGUGAAGCCAGGGGAAACUCUGGUGGAGGCUCGCAGCGGUUCUGA
This 782-nucleotide ribosomal RNA is filed under the name Tarzetta sp. 1525. RNAcentral describes it as "eukaryotic LSU rRNA". It matches the Rfam family "Eukaryotic large subunit ribosomal RNA", at positions 88 to 889 of the family's 3401-position model. The record is from RNAcentral. Lineage: Eukaryota; Fungi; Ascomycota; Pezizomycetes; Pezizales; Tarzettaceae.